This 526-nucleotide ribosomal RNA is filed under the name uncultured bacterium. RNAcentral describes it as "bacterial SSU rRNA". It matches the Rfam family "Bacterial small subunit ribosomal RNA", at positions 355 to 900 of the family's 1533-position model. The record is from RNAcentral.
UGGGGAAUCUUGGACAAUGGGGGCAACCCUGAUCCAGCCAUGCCGCGUGAGUGAUGAAGGCCUUAGGGUCGUAAAGCUCUUUCGCCUGUGAAGAUAAUGACGGUAGCAGGUAAAGAAACCCCGGCUAACUCCGUGCCAGCAGCCGCGGUAAUACGGAGGGGGCGAGCGUUAUUCGGAAUUAUUGGGCGUAAAGGGCGCGUAGGCGGACCAGAAAGUUGGGGGUGAAAUCCCGGGGCUCAACCCGGAACUGCCUCCAAACUAUUGGUCUAGAGUUCGAGAGAGGUGAGUGGAAUUCCAAGUGUAGAGGUGAAAUUCGUAGAUAUUUGGAGGAACACCAGUGGCGAAGGCGGCUCACUGGCUCGAUACUGACGCUGAGGUGCGAAAGUGUGGGGAGCAAACAGGAUUAGAUACCCUGGUAGUCCACACCGUAAAACGAUGAAUGCCAGUCGUCGGGUAGCAUGCUAUUCGGUGACACACCUAACGGAUUAAGCAUUCCGCCUGGGGAGUACGGUCGCAAGAUUAAAAC